AAGAUGGAGUCACAGAACCAGAUCUUCAUAUUUCUGCUGUUCUGUGUAUCUGGUACUUAUGGGAAUAUUGUGAUGACCCAGUCUCCCAAAUCUCUACCUGUAUCAGUAGAAGACAAAGCCAUCAUGAGUUGUAAGUCCAGUCAGAAUGUGGGUACAGCUAUAGCAUGGUAUCAACAGAAACCAGGGCAGGCUCCUAAACUCCUGAUCUACUCAGCAUCCACUCGGUACACUGGGGUACCUGAUCGCUUCUCAGGCAGUGGAUCUGGAACAGAUUUCACUCUUACCAUUAGUAAUGUCCAGGAUGAAGACCUUGCAGAUUAUUACUGUCAGCAGUGGUAUAGCACUCCUCCCACAGUGCUUCAGCCUCCAACAAAAACCUCAUCUGAUAGUCUCACCAGCUGCCUGCACCCCACACAGUCCUGGGUCUGCACACAUCCCCCUCUGCAUGAGAGGUGGUGUGCCUGA
Microtus ochrogaster (prairie vole) is the source of this 465-nucleotide non-coding RNA. NCBI's taxonomy places the organism in Eukaryota, Metazoa, Chordata, Mammalia, Rodentia, Cricetidae. The record is from the annotation of a RefSeq genome assembly.